Mytilus californianus (California mussel) is the source of this 2280-nucleotide RNA transcript. It is a transcript of the gene named low-density lipoprotein receptor-related protein 4-like, with no coding region annotated. The transcript has 7 exons. Lineage: Eukaryota; Metazoa; Mollusca; Bivalvia; Mytilida; Mytilidae. The record is from RefSeq and is a predicted model, not a curated record.
UUCACGUUUAAAUAUUCAGUCAAAUAAAGGUUGAUACAAUCCUAGUUCUGAUUGAAAUGGAAGUAAAAGUUUUGUUUUGUUUGUGUGUUUUACUGCAUUGCAUACUACUGGCAUCGUCUUUCCAUGGAAAAGUUUUGUUUUCAGAUUUAUCUUCAAUAAUGGAAUGUGAUGUUGAUACAGGUAUUGUGAUUGUUCUGGUUCACACUGGAGGGAGUGCAGUGUAUGCAUUGGAUUACGAUUACGAAAACAGAUACUUGUAUUUCACAAGAACUGCAUUAGUGCCUGCCAUUGUAAGAUUUCCAUAUCCCUCAAAGAACAUGACAAUACAGACAGUUGUCCACACAGGGCCAUAUCCAGUAGGAGUAGCUGUUGAUUCAGCCAAUGAUCAUUUAUACUGGAUCGAUCAUCAUAUGAACACACUAUCAAGAUGCAAUCUAGAUGGAACCAAUAUAAUAGUUUUAUCAACUUUGAUCAAACCGUGGGUGAUACGACUUGAUGUUACAAAAAGGUGGAUGUAUAUAGCUGAUUACAGUUCUGGAAUUUUAAAGUAUAGAUAUGAUUUAGCUGAAGAGCAGACAAUUGUAAAUUUUACAUCAACAUCUGUUUUUAACAUGGAUAUAGACACUGAUGAAAACAGAUUGUAUUGGAUUAAUCAGGACGGUGACAUGAAAUCAGCUAAAGACGAUGGCUGUGAUAUAAACAAAAUUAUUUCAACGAAUUUUCGAAAAAAACUACGUAGCUAUUUGUGUCUUUGGUAGUUACAUAUAUUAUGGUAAUGGAAAACAUUUGUUAAUGGUAAACAAAGUACCUGAAUCAACACCGACUCUACUAUAUAGCGAUACCAGCAGGAUUGAGAGUAUAUUUGUUUUUAAACAAACAGGUAUGUAAACAGCCAUGUAUCAUACCAAGAGGCAGUCUGGGAAUAAAACUACACUGUAAUUGAUAGUUGAUUUCGCGAUACAUAAAGCUAUUCAAAUAUAAGUAAUUUACAUAAUGUUGCAAAUCUACUAACUGUAACUACUGUCAUCAGUAUAUUUUGUAAACAAUAAAGAUUUGACAACAAUAUAGUUUUGAAGCACCUUUUUAAAUGUACUUACAUUAAAUGAGUAAUCAGUUAGAUAUGAUUCUUGGUAUUCAAAUUGAAUAAAAACUAUACAUGAGACCCUAUAUUAUUCACUAAAUAGUGAUAUGCAUAAUUGCACUUGUUUCGUUUAUUGUUGAUAAAACUCAAAUACAAAACAAAGGCUUCAAUUAAUUGAGAUUAACCUGUCAAAAAUAGAUGCAACUUGAUUUAGCCCGUAUCGUUUCAAUUUUUGUUUUUAUAUUUGUUAAGUUAGCGUAUGGUGUAUACUGUUCUUCCAUAAAUGUUUACACUAUAUAUAAUCAUUGUUUGUUGCUUUGGCACUAACAUACUCGUAACAUAUGUUAAUGUAUUUAUUUGCUAUUGCUUUGUUGCCUCUGUGUUUUCGUCUGAACCUUGUAUGCAUAUUGUUGUUAUGUUUUCAUAUUUGUUUUAAGUUUCUUAUUUUCACAGAUAACUUUUUAAUUUCAUUAUACAGAAAAAGUUUACUUACUUUAGAUGUACCUUUUUUUACCGUUGAUUUAAUGUUAAUUCAUGUAUUAUAUAACAAUUUCAUGAUAGUUGAUAAUAGUACUUAUAGUCAAAUUGAAUAUUUCGUUUAGCAUGAUAAUUGUUAACGCUAACAACUUAGUUUUGCAAUCAUCGAUUUUGUUUUAACUUCAAUGAUUAAAAUUGUAUUGAAGGAAGAACUUGACAAAAAGAGUAAUUCUACAAACGAUAAGAAAGUUCCUAUUCUUUCAUCAUUAUAUACAAUAUUUCUUUUAGAACGUUGGCAACAUAACUAAGUUUUUGAAAUAGAAUAUUGAUAUCCUUCAAAUUUGAAUCAAAGCAUACAUUAGAUUUUAGAAAUAUGAAUAAUGAUUUAAAGUGAUAAAAUUAUAAAUAAAAAAAAGAUAUGUAAACAUGUAAAUAAAUUGAUGAAUACAAUAUAAUAUUUUCAUUUCGUUAUAUCUGACUGGAGUAGGUACGUAAAAACUACUAACGACAAAAAUAAAAAAGAACCUGGAAAAAACAACAUUACCAGAUAUUGGAAAACUGUGGGUUAUGAAGAUUACAGUGAAAACGCCUAAAUUAUUGCUAAACCAUCAUGUGAGACACUAAAUGAGGAGACUCCUGAUUACUUUGAUGAAAAUAUAUAGAUGGUUGACUGACCGUAUCAACUGUUGGUAAAGUGUUGAUGCCGAUAUAUAUAUAUAUAU